GACAGAGGUUGCAAACGUUGUUCGGAAUCACUGGGCAUAAAGCGCACGUAGGCGGUCUGGUAAGUCAGGUGUGAAAGCCCCCGGCUCAACCGGGGAACAGCAUCUGAUACUGGCAGACUCGAGGAUGGUAGGGGUGCGUGGAACUCCAGGUGGAGCGGUGAAAUGCGUAGAUAUCUGGAGGAACACCGGUGGCGAAAGCGGCUCACUGGACCAUAACUGACGCUGAGGUGCGAAAGCUAGGGUAGCAAACGGG
Molecule: ribosomal RNA, 253 nt
Filed under: uncultured bacterium
Lineage: Bacteria
Description: partial 16S ribosomal RNA
Rfam family: Bacterial small subunit ribosomal RNA
Source: RNAcentral